This 1865-nucleotide long non-coding RNA is filed under the name Homo sapiens (human). RNAcentral's name for it is "HSALNT0365823". Lineage: Eukaryota; Metazoa; Chordata; Mammalia; Primates; Hominidae. The record is from RNAcentral.
UCUUCAGAGCUGCCUGGGCCUAGCGCCCAAGAAGUUUGCUCCUUGCAUCAAUGGCGAUGCUAGACAUAUUCUACUGGCUGUGGCCCAAAGGCUGGAGGUGGAACUGUAAGAGCAGAGAGGAGGAGAAGGCUCACCAUGAAGACAAAAGAAGUCCUGAGCCUUGGAUUUUCUUCCUCUAGGGCUUUGUGGACCCACAGAUUGGUAGAAGUUCUGUGAGGGCUGACUUCUCCCCAUCUGUCCCAGAUGGAUCCCUUAAGGCUCAGGACACCUCAGAGGACUGGUGCAUGGGCUGCAGCCAGCCUGACCCAGCUCUAUAAAGAAGCUCACCCUUUACAGAUGCCCCAGAGAGGCCCCCAUCCUGCCCUGCAGCCAGCUUCCUGGGCAAGUGGGAUCAGGCACUCGGGGUCUCCCUCCUCCAGGGUUUCCUGAAACAGGAUGCAUUCAGCCCUUGUAGAGUUGCUGGGGAAGUGGAAGGAAAACAGAGGUGACUCUUGAAGCCCCAGGAGCUGACCUUAGAUCUUGACACUCCUGGUGUGUGCAAAGGUCUGAGGAGACGGCCAGAUUGAGGUAAAGCAGUAAAAAUCCGUGCUUGUCAGGAAAGUAGCAAGAGCCGAGUUCUACACUAACCAUUGGCUGGCCUGGGGCAGCCUGCAGCUGCACAACUGCCUCGUACAAUGGCAUGGACAAGCAGUGUCGGUGACGUAGCAGGCCGCUGGGGACCUGGGAGACAUCCUGCUGCUGCAGGAGUCCUGUGCAGAGCAGAGGAGAGAGCAGUUUGGCAAGUGCAGGGGUCCCACUCUUCUUUUGGUUGGUGGCAGGGAGCAGGUGGGGCCUAACCUGGGUGGACAGUGUCUACCUCCCUUCUGUGCAUUUUGCAUUGGCCUUAAUUGGUUCUCCCGGGAUAGUCACGAAAGCCCGACCUUUGUUCCAGGUAAAGUGCUGCAUGUUUCAUGUGUACAGCUCAUUUAAUCUUCACAGGACCUUAUGAAGUAGUUAUUAUAUCUAUUAUCAUCACAGAAAAGAACACUGAGCCUCAGAGAGGUCAAGCAAUUGGCCCAAGAUCACACAGCCUGCAAGAAACAGAGAUGGGACUCAGACCCUGGUCUAUUUGGCUCCCAUGUGCCUUACUACUAUGUUAUACCCACCCCUCCAGUCUCCUUCUAGGUCACCAGCUGGGAUGGGAGGCCAACUCUCCAAAUCAGAAGAGGUAAGCAGUUGUUACUGAGGAGUUGACUUCCUUCCCAUUUUGUUCCCUUCAGAUUUGGGAUUUAUGUUAAGACCUUGUUAUGAUUAUCUAGUGCUACAUAACAAAUCGUUCCAAAAUUUAGUGGCUGAAAACAAUGGCAAUCAUUUUACUAUCUGUUACAGUUUUUCUGGGUCAGGAAUUUGAGCAGGACUUGCCUACGUGAUUUUGGCUUGAGGACUCUCACAUGGUGGUAAUAGAUGGAAGUUGAAACUGGAGCAGAGGAGCAGAAGUGGCUGGAGUGGCAGGAACUGGCCAGGCAUCUCUUCCUCUCUGGAUAUAUAGACACUGGGCCUCUUCAUCGGGUCUUUCUGCAGGGCUGGUUGUGCUUCCUCACUGCAUGGUGGCUCAGGGCAGUCAGACCACCUGCGUGGUGGCUCAGCACUCCAGCACAGUGUCCCAUCACUCAAGGUAGAAGCUGCAUUGUCCUCUAGGGCUUAGCCUCUGAAGCCAUGCAGCGUCACUUCCUGAGCUUCCUUGUAACCACUUCCUGUUGGUUAUAAGUGAGGCACAAGCCCAUCCAAAUUCAAAGGAAGAAGAGUUAGACUCCAUCACUUAAUAGGAACGUGGCAAGAUUCUAGAAGAGCAAAUGGGAUAAGAAUUAUUGUUGCAUUCAUCUUAG